This 548-nucleotide ribosomal RNA is filed under the name Eurycryptus sp. n. 1 BFS-2018. Its description in RNAcentral is "partial 16S large subunit ribosomal RNA". The stretch from base 408 to 548 matches the Rfam family "Archaeal large subunit ribosomal RNA", at positions 2544 to 2684 of the family's 2987-position model. Lineage: Eukaryota; Metazoa; Arthropoda; Insecta; Hymenoptera; Ichneumonidae. The record is from RNAcentral.
UCGCCUKGUUUAUCAAAAACAUGUCUUUUAGAUAUUUAAUUUAAAGUCUAAUCUGCUCCAUGAUAAAUUUUAAAUAGCUGCAGUAUUCUGACUGUACUAAGGUAGCAUAAUCAAUAGUUUUUUAAUUGAAAGCUGGAAUGAAUGAUUAAAUAAGGUAAAUAUUGUCUCUAAAUUAAUAAUAAUAGAAUUUUUUUUCUAGUAAAAAUACUAGAAUUUAUUUUAAAGACGAGAAGACCCUAUAGAAUUUUAUAUAAAAUUUUUUUUAUAAAUUUAAAUUUAAUUAAUUAUAAAAAUAUUUUAUAUUUGGUUGGGGAAAUUAUUAAAUUAAUAAAAUUUUAAUUAAAUAUAACAAUAAUUAUUGGAUAUUUGAUCUUGAAUUUUUGAUUAUUAGAAUUAAUUACCUUAGGGAUAACAGCGUAAUUUUUUUAGAGAGAUCAUAUUGAAAAAAAAGUUUGCGACCUCGAUGUUGAAUUAAGAUAAAGUUUUAAUGUAGAAGUUAAAAAUUUUUGGUCUGUUCGACCAUUAAAAUCUUACGUGAUCUGAGUUCA